RNAcentral lists this ribosomal RNA (890 nucleotides) under Campylobacter jejuni. RNAcentral's name for it is "partial 23S ribosomal RNA". It matches the Rfam family "Bacterial large subunit ribosomal RNA", at positions 606 to 1508 of the family's 2925-position model. Lineage: Bacteria; Pseudomonadati; Campylobacterota; Epsilonproteobacteria; Campylobacterales; Campylobacteraceae. The record is from RNAcentral.
UUUUGCAUAAUGAGCCUGCGAGUUGUGGUGUCUGGCAAGGUUAAGCAAACGCGAAGCCGUAGCGAAAGCGAGUCUGAAUAGGGCGCUUAGUCAGAUGCUGCAGACCCGAAACGAAGUGAUCUAUCCAUGAGCAAGUUGAAGCUAGUGUAAGAACUAGUGGAGGACUGAACCCAUAGGCGUUGAAAAGCCCCGGGAUGACUUGUGGAUAGGGGUGAAAGGCCAAUCAAACUUCGUGAUAGCUGGUUCUCUCCGAAAUAUAUUUAGGUAUAGCGUUGUGUCGUAAUAUAAGGGGGUAGAGCACUGAAUGGGCUAGGGCAUACACCAAUGUACCAAACCCUAUCAAACUCCGAAUACCUUAUAUGUAAUCACAGCAGUCAGGCGGCGAGUGAUAAAAUCCGUCGUCAAGAGGGAAACAACCCAGACUACCAGCUAAGGUCCCUAAAUCUUACUUAAGUGGAAAACGAUGUGAAGUUACUUAAACAACCAGGAGGUUGGCUUAGAAGCAGCCAUCCUUUAAAGAAAGCGUAAUAGCUCACUGGUCUAGUGAUUUUGCGCGGAAAAUAUAACGGGGCUAAAGUAAGUACCGAAGCUGUAGACUUAGUUUACUAAGUGGUAGGAGAGCGUUCUAUUUGCGUCGAAGGUAUACCGGUAAGGAGUGCUGGAGCGAAUAGAAGUGAGCAUGCAGGCAUGAGUAGCGAUAAUUAAUGUGAGAAUCAUUAACGCCGUAAACCCAAGGUUUCCUACGCAAUGCUCGUCAUCGUAGGGUUAGUCGGGUCCUAAGUCGAGUCCGAAAGGGGUAGACGAUGGCAAAUUGGUUAAUAUUCCAAUACCAACAUUAGUGUGCGAUGGAAGGACGCUUAGGGCUAAGGGGGCUAGCGGAUGGAAGUGCU